RNAcentral lists this long non-coding RNA (968 nucleotides) under Homo sapiens (human). RNAcentral describes it as "HSALNT0298561". The record is from RNAcentral. Lineage: Eukaryota; Metazoa; Chordata; Mammalia; Primates; Hominidae.
ACGCGUCAGGUUAUAAAUGACCCUGUCUCCUUUGUUUGGUGUACUCUCGUGGCAAAACUCCUGGUGAGUGUACCCUUUCACAGAAAGUAUAAAAAUGUCCUUGCUGAGUAAAUUAAAUUUAUGUUCAAGUGCUAUUUCUUUACGGCACCAGGGAACAAGCAUUUCAAACAGAGGUGACUCAAUGGUGUUUCAGCGUCCAGGUGGCACGGUGUUCUCUCACUCCACCUCGACGGCCCAUGUCCACAAGAGGGUUCCUCCCAACAAGAAGCCUGUUCUACAACCUCAGCAGUUGUAGACUUAGUCCCAUCUUUCCCAGCUGAGGGUCCAGAACCUUGGCUGUCCCCAUCAAGGUCAGAAUCUACCUUACGUAAAAUAAUUUAUGAAAACUCUUUCAGAUCAUCCUGCAGUGAUUUCUUCCUGGUCAGGUGCCCUGGUUGAAGUCCAUGACGUCUCUUCCUGGCAAAGCCUGUUUAGAGCUGUUAUAUCCUGGUCCGGAUAAAAUAAGCCAGCUAGCUCGAGAAGGAAACUAUUGUCUUGGGAACUUGAGUGCCUGGAUCGUGGUGAGCUGGAGCUGAGUGCCCGAUACAUUCCAGCUGCCUCUUCAUGUCCAGUCUACACCCUCCAUCCUGCUGCCUGGGAGCUGAUCUCUAUGGCUCCAGACCCUCUUCUGGGAAGGACUCAGCCACGCUUCCUCCUCGGAUCACAGAAGACUCCAGAUGCAAGCUGUCUGUUUGCAACAGUGUGCAGGGCUUCUCUGACUGGGAGGCUGCUCCUGUCAGCUGUUCACCUUCUUCACUGACUCCAGAGUGUGCACGUGAGCCUGCCUGGAGGCGCUUGGACAAUCAUUUACCCCAUUUAAAAAAAACUGGCCUGCGUUCUUGACUGCAAAAACUCAUUAUCAUAAAAAUGCCAUGUCCUCUUAAGUUAGCCUAUAAACUUAAUGUAAUGCUAAUAAAAAUAGCAAUAGG